CGUAGGGUGCGAGCGUUAAUCGGAAUUACUGGGCGUAAAGCGUGCGCAGGCGGUUAUAUAAGACAGAUGUGAAAUCCCGGGCUCAACCUGGGAACUGCAUUUGUGACUGUAUAGCUAGAGUACGGCAGAGGGGGAUGGAAUUCCGCGUGUAGCAGUGAAAUGCGUAGAGAUGUGGAGGAACACCAAUGGCGAAGGCAGCCCCCUGGGUCGAUACUGACGCUCAUGCACGAAAGCGUGGGUAGCAAACAGGAUUAGAUACCCUGGUAGUCCACGCCCUAAACGAUGUCAACUAGGUGUUGGGUGGGUAAAACCAUUUAGUACCGGAGCGAACGCGUGAAGCUGACCGCCUGGGGAGUACGGCCGCAAGGUUA
This 371-nucleotide ribosomal RNA is filed under the name uncultured organism. RNAcentral's name for it is "bacterial SSU rRNA". It matches the Rfam family "Bacterial small subunit ribosomal RNA", at positions 526 to 896 of the family's 1533-position model. The record is from RNAcentral.